RNAcentral lists this long non-coding RNA (5550 nucleotides) under Nicotiana benthamiana. RNAcentral describes it as "long non-coding RNA (NBEN_LNC030179)". The record is from RNAcentral. Lineage: Eukaryota; Viridiplantae; Streptophyta; Magnoliopsida; Solanales; Solanaceae.
AUGUGUUUUGUUUAGGCUGCUCCCAUUUCGCUCGCCGCUACUACGGGAAUCGCUUUUGCUUUCUUUUUCUCUGGCUACUAAGAUGUUUCAGUUCGCCAGGUUGUCUCUUGCCUGCCCAUGGAUUCAGCAGCAGUUCGAAAGGUUGCCCUAUUCGGGAAUCUCCGNNNNNNNNNNNNNNNNNNNNNNNNNNNNNNNNNNNNNNNNNNNNNNNNNNNACGCUUGUAUUGCUCUCCCACAACCCCGUUUUCACGGUUUAGGCUGCUCCCAUUUCGCUCGCCGCUACUACGGGAAUCGCUUUUGCUUUCUUUUUCUCUGGCUACUAAGAUGUUUCAGUUCGCCAGGUUGUCUCUUGCCUGCCCAUGGAUUCAGCAGCUCAUCGAGAUAUUCAAACAGGGAGAGGGCACCCAAGAGGGGGAGUCCCAACUCGUUGACAUGAUUCAUAUAGUAGGUUUGAGGCCGGUGCCCAGCUAAUGUCACUCAGGUACGGAUUCAGUUUGUUAUAGAAAGGCACUAUCUGUAGUUCAUCACAAAUCUAUUUAUCUGGUUGCAUUCUUUGUUUGUUUUUCUAUUUAUGGGAGUGCUUCAUGAUUUGCACUCUGUCUAUGUGAUUAUUCGGUUGGGAAGUUUUAUGAGUGCUACUCGUGUCUAUCAUCUGUUUUAGCCAUUGUCGAGAGUUAUGAGGCAAGUAGUAUUUUUCUUUUGUCUGUUCUGGUAGGCUUGAUGUGAUUUUCGAGCAUUCUUGGUUACGAGCUGUGAUGUUUAUGCUCCACCGGUGUGGGAGCUAGUCUAUGUUGUAAAUUGUAGAUGGAAUUGAUCUAGUGAGAGUCUCUAGAUGGGUUGAUUUGUACCCUACUUGUUAUCCAGUGUUGAGGGUGAGACCCUCGUGAUAUCAGGUGAUUUGAUAUGUUGAGACCUGGCUGUGUACUGCGGUGAGAGUUAUAUCAGUAUAAGAUCCUUGUGAGUCCAUUAUAUAGUUUCAUUCUUUCUUGUUAGAUGUCUUGCAGAUUUGUGUUUUAGAAGAAUUUUGUGCUAGUUUAAUUUGUUUGUUAGUUCUCUUAUGUAUUUCUUUUCCCAUAUUUAUUCAUUUUCGUUCUAUGCUCCUUGAGUUUUAGUUUUGGGGUGUAUAACCGUUGGUGUUGGCUGAGAUUUGGUUAGUCGCGUGUUUCGUCAUGUGGUUUUUGUGGUUGUUGUAACAUCUCCAGUGUUAUAGGUGGUUGAAAAGAGUUCUUAUGGAAUAUAAGGAUUAUGACCGGUACAGAUUUGAUUUCAGGCAAUUGCUAUCAGAAAUAUUAUUGUAGGACUAUGUGUGGUAUGUCAUGUUGUGUGGCUGUACCCUGUGUGUGUUGGCUUGUGUUGAAUUAGCUGAUUGAGACUGAUAUCAGAUAUGGACUUGGGAUCGGGUCUUUUUGAAAUGGAUGGAGGUUGAGAUAUUUGGCUUGAAGGCUUAAUGGUAUUGCUAGAAGGGUUAAAUUUCAGUUGAGAUCGUAUCGUCAUGCCAAAGUGGAUUAGGGUGACCUGGGGUUACCCACGGGUGUAUGUUGGAAUUUCGCACUCAGUGACUUGAGAACUUCAAGGUGAAUCUUAGCAAGUUCGAGGACGAAUGUUGGUUUUAAGAGGGGGAGGAUGUAACGACCCGACCAGUCGGUUUGAGAAAUUAAGCUCUAUUCAGCGACAUAAGGUCUAGAGCAGCUUCGGAACACGAGUAUCGACUUGCGUGUAUGGUGGAAUUCAGUUUUCGGAUGGUUUAGAGUCAAUUUUAGAGGAGAAACCUUAUUUUGGAAGUUAGAACAUUAAAAAUUUAAUCGGAACUGGACUUUUGGGUAAACGACCCCGGAAUGGGUCGGGGAUGAUCUCAAUAGCAUCUUAUGGUGAUUUUGGACUUAGGCUCACGUCCGGAUUCAACUUUGGAGGUCCGUAGAGUAAAUUGAGGCAUUUCGGCGAAAGUUGUAGUUAGAAAAUGAAGAAAUUUGACCCACAGUUGACUUUUGGGAAAUCGAGGUCAGAAUGUAAUUCCGGGAGUUAGAACAGCUCCAUUAUGUCAUUUUUGACUUGUAUGCAAAAUUUGGCGCCAUUCCGAGUUGAAUUGAUAGGUUUUGGCAUGAGUUUUGUUAUUUGAAGAUUUGAAAGUUCAUAAGCUUGAUUUUUGGUUCGAUUCGUCGUUUCGAUGUUGUUUUAGGUUAUUUGAAGCUUCGAGCGAGUCCGUGUUAGGUUAUGUGACUUGUACGUGUGAUUAGACGGGGUCGCGGAGGCCUCGGGUAUGUUUCGGAUGGGCUACAGAUCCUUUGACCUCCACUUUGAACUGUUGAACUGCUGCUUCUAAUAUUCUUCUACGCGAUCACGAAGCUUCUCCCGCGAUCACGUUGCUUUGUUGAAGACAACCUCGAAAUCCUUCUUCGCGAUCGCAUCCUUCCCUUCGCGAUCGCGAUGCCCCACAUCUCUCUUCUUCGCGAUCGCGAAGUUCUGUGAAUUUCUUCAUCGCGUUCGUAUCAAGCUUCCCGCGAUCACGAUGGUCUAAUCAUCUUCACUUCGUGGUCGCAUCCCUGGUCUCGCGUUCGUGAUGAGAUAUCUGGGCAGUCUUGAAAUUACUUCUACGCAAUCGCGACCCUUCUCCCACGAUCGCGAUGCACAAAUACCUGGGCAGACAGAUUUAAUUCCCAAAUCCGAGGGUUUCACCAUUUAUUCACAUUUUGACUUCUAGGGCACAGUUCUUGGCGAGUUUUGAAGGGAUUUUCACUUGGAAAACAUGGGUAAGUGUUUUUCACUCGAUUUAUGCCAACUUCCAUGAAUCUCCUCUUAGUUUCAUCUUUUAAUUUCAGUUUUUGAACGAAAAAUGGGUAGAACUUCAUAGAUCAAAUUGUUGGGUUUUGAGGGAGUGUUUGACCUUUGAUUUGAGAUAUUUUAUAUGGAUAGACUCGUGAGAGUAUGGGAGUUCUGAAAAUGUUAAAUUCAUCCAGUUCCUAGAUGUUGGCCCGGGGGACAUUUUGGUCAUUUUAUCUAAUUUCGCGCUUUUGCUUUGAAUUAAACUAUAGAAUAAGUUGCUUGAGAUGUUAAUUGUGAUGUGUUAUUUAAUUGAAUAGAUUUGGAGUCGAGAAUGCAUGGCAAGAACGUGGUUGCUAGGUUAUUUUAGCCAGUUUUGAGGUAAGUAUCUUUCCUAACCUUGUGUGGGGGACUUCCCCUUAGGAUUUGAGUCCUCUCUGUUGAUUGCAUUCUGUGUACGGGAGGUGACGAGUGCGUGCUCGGAUUUAUUUAUGGUAAAUUUUCCCUUUUAGGCUAUUAGACUUGGAAACCACCGAGCAUGAAGAUGAUAUUGAUACGAUUGAGUUACCUGUUAUUAGUUUCACUUCUACAUGUCAUAGUUGAUAUUUGUUUGCCCUUCUUGAUUUAUUUCUACUAUUAAAUGGACUUUUACGUGUUUAACUAAAGGCAAGUACCCUUCUAUAGUCAUAAUACCCGCCCUAACUACUCACCUUUAAUUGGAAAUCAUAAAUGUUGUAUCUCAUGUAAUUAAUCGGUCUUAAUUGGAAGGAAUAUAGAUAUUUUAUGAUUAAUUGAUAUUUCCUUAAAUGGAAAUUUUUUGAUUCGUGUUAACUUUCUUACUAUCGGAUACUCCUUGAUUGUAAGUUCAUCUGUAACUUAAUGCAAUUAUAUUACCUGUCCAACUGUUGUGGUAUCGGUGUAGUUAUUAUGUACUUAUUAUGUCUUGUUUUGUCGUUGAGGUUAUUGUACUUUUCCUUGGUGUUCUCUGGCCUUAGUAGGUAUUGUUGAAUUCCCUUGCCGGGACGUUAUUGUUUCUAUUGUUGAUUCCCUUGCCGGGAUGUUAUUGGUUCUGUCGUUGAUUCCCUUGCCUGGACAUUAUUGUUUCCAUUGUUGAUUCCCUUGCUUUGCUCUUGUACAUAUAUUGUCAUUUAUUGAGCAGCUAUUGGUACUGUGAUGCACGAGGUCUCUGCCGUGCGGUUAUUGUUGGAGAGUUGCACGAGGUCUUUGCCUUGUUAUUGUUGCUAUUGAUGUUUUUGCACAUGCGGCGUAAUAAGGCGGGAUAUGUUAUAUGCUUAUAUGUGAAUUGCACAUGUGGCGGAAUAAGGUGGGAAUAUUGUGAAGCACGUGUGGCAAAAUAAGUCGGUGCUUAUUACAUUAUUAUUGGUUGCACACGUGGCAAAAUAAGGAGGGCUAUGUCAGUGGCUGAUUCUGGUGAAUUGUGAAGGCCCGGGGAGGCAUUUUUCCUAUUUUUAUUUACUAUAUAGAUAUGACGGACUACGGGCCCCGAUUCCCGGGAGAUCCUCUGUCAUUGGUAUGAUGGACUACGGGUUCAAUUCCCGGGAGAUCCUCUGAUAUUGGUAUGAUGGACUACAUGUUCGAUUUUCGGAGUUCCGCGUUAAACUCAUUGUGUUCUGAACUGAUAUUUCCAUUGAUUCUAUUUGGGUGUGAAUAAAUCAGGUGCUAGUCGUUCCAUUCUUAUACUUACUAGUUUGUAGGAUUCCUGUUAGAUACACUUGCACAAGCAUACACGUUGUUGAACCCUCCUAUUAGAGAUGAGUCCCUUCUGAUCUGGCUAGGGGUAGGUAUAUGCCUUCGUUUACCCAUUAUAUAUGUGAGAGUGACCCUAGUUGACUAGUUAGUUGUCAGCAUGACCGUNNNNNNNNNNNNNNNNNNNNNNNNNNNNNNNNNNNNNNNNNNNNNNNNNNNNNNNNNNNNNNNNNNNNNNNNNNNNNNNNNNNNNNNNNNNNNNNNNNNNNNNNNNNNNNNNNNNAUAUUUUUCCAUUUGUUAUUGAUGGGGCACAAGAUGCCAAGUGUUAGACUUCAGACGCUGGGUUUUUAUGAGUUGUGGCUGGUCUGAGAGUUUGUGAUACAAUUGUGGAAAGAGUUGGAAAGACCCUAUGUAAGAAUCAUUGCAGAAUAAUGACUUAGUGACUUGUUUGUCCUUGUUGUGUUGUGACUUCAGGAUUUGGAUUGUGAUUUCUGACGUCAUUUUCUUGAAUGGUUAUUAUAAAGACCCUAUGUAAGAAUCAUUGCAGAAUAAUGACUUAGUGACUUGUUUGUCCUUGUUGUGUUGUGACUUCAGGAUUUGGAUUGUGAUUUCUUCCAUCAUUUUCAUAUUACUAUUUAUUUUAUUCUCGUUGUUACUUAUCGUCCGUUAGACUUAUUAUGAUUUGUAUUAUUUUUACUCAUCCGUGCAGUCUGUACAUAUUUACAUAUCAUCUUUAUAUUUAUGUUAUAGUGUUUAUUGACCGGUAGGUGUCUCGACUGUUCCUCGUCACUACUCCAUCGAGGUUAGUCUUGAUUUUUACAUAUUUACAUAUCAUCUCUAUUAUUUCCGUUAUACUAUUUAUUGACCGGUAAGUGUCUUGACUAUUCCUCGUCACUACUCCACCGAGGUUAGUCUUGAUACUUACUGGGCAUAACCGUGGUGUGCUCAUGCUACUCUUCUGCACACUUUUUGUUGUGCAGAUUCAAGUACUCCCAUUCAAAUCUAUCGGCCUUGGAAGGAGGCAUAUCGGUGGAGACUUCAAAUUAUAUCUGCUACGUCCACAGACCAAGGAGUCCCCUUUCCAG